This 440-nucleotide ribosomal RNA is filed under the name uncultured bacterium. RNAcentral describes it as "partial 16S ribosomal RNA". It matches the Rfam family "Bacterial small subunit ribosomal RNA", at positions 338 to 795 of the family's 1533-position model. The record is from RNAcentral.
CCUACGGGAGGCAGCAGUGGGGGAUAUUGCGCAAUGGGGGAAACCCUGAUGCAGCGACGCCGCGUGUGGGAAGACGGUCCUCUGGAUGGUAAACCACUGUCCCCAGGGACGAAGAUGACGGUACCUGGGGAUGAAGCUCCGGCUAACUACGUGCCAGCAGCCGCGGUAAUACGUAGGGAGCGAGCGUUGUCCGGAAUUACUGGGUGUAAGGGGAGCGUAGGCGGGACUGCAAGUUGGGGGGCAAAUCUACCGGCUCAACCCGUAGCCGCAAUCCAAACUGCAGUUCUUGAGUGAAGGAGAGGCAGGCGGAAUUCCUAGUGUAGCGGUGAAAUGCGUAGAUAUUAGGAGGAACACCAGUGGCGAAGGCGGCCUGCUGGGCUGUGACUGACGCUGAGGCUCGAAAGUGUGGGGAGCAAACAGGAUUAGAUACCCCUGUAGUC